CAACAAAGCUCACACUUUUUAUCCUCUAGACAUGCAUAUAAAGAUACGUAUAUUUAUAUAGAUCUACAUGUGAGAUGCUAGAUUGUAUAUAUAAUUUUUGCUGUUUACAGAACUGGAAGUUGAAACUGGAAAUUAAUUAAUAAUCAAUUAAUGAAAUAAUAAGAAAGAGAAAAAAAAAAGAUGAGUGGUAAGUAGGUGGAGGACAUUGAAGGAGGACCAUCUAAUUUCUUUCAUGAGAAAGGAAAAAAGGAGAGGGAUGGGCUCUGUUUCUCAUUAGCACCAUCUUUUGGAAACUCCCUUUUUUGGUAACCCUUCUGCGUUUUCAAUGAAUUAUAGAUGCUGUUCCUCUCUCCAUCUAUCUGCGUUCAUAUUUAUUGUUUAACAAAAACUUAUUUCACACCAACGUGAAUAAUGGCAUUUGAACGUAUGGGAGAGUGUACUAGUACAACAACCAAGUUGGAUUAAUUUAGUUAAACUAAACUGUAGAUAAACUGUAUUCUGUCGUUUCAGCUUGGUUUCUGUUUCUCGAAAUACAAGACAUCAAACCGGUAAAGAAGUUUUUGUUUGAAUUUUGCCACAUUUUACUUAAAAAGAAACUGAAAAGUUGACGUUUCAACAGAUCCCAAAACUGAAAUGCACAUUCUACCAGACAUGUUACUAUACAUUGUAGUGUGUGUGUUUUUUUUUUGACAUUUAGAUUGUAGUGUUUUAUAAAGUCAAUUUUUCUAAACUUGAUGUUUGUUUUUUUAAGUGUAAGGUAUGUUUGAUAAAUGCCAUUAAUAACGUUCACUAGUGGAAUUCACAAACCCAUCUUUUGCAAAGAUUACAAGAUAUAGGAUGCUGAAAAAUAUUUGAUCUGAGAGAUCAUCCGAAAAAUGAAAAAAAUGAAGAUGAUUUAUAGCCAAAUUUGACAUAGUGACAUGCAUAUUUAUUAUAUAAUUAAAACUUGGGACAUAUAUAGAUCAAACUAAAAUUAAUAUUUGUAAAUAAAUAAAGGAAAAUUGCAAAAAUAGUAGGAAACGAAAAUUUUAAGUAUUCAUAUGAGAGAGUAGAUGGUCAGGAUAUACAAAUAGAGAUAUAUGUAGGUGCGAUAAAAUAUGGAUAUGUGAGAAAAGAGACGUGCAUGUUAAACUGGUAUCAACUUCUCCUAGUACCUGAAUCCUUUAUGGGGAUAGGGGACAACAAAUGUUCUAUCUGUGCUUCAGGGGAUCAUUACAAGUUAUUUACUGUGCUAUCAUCCUUUAUCUUUUUCUUUCUUUGAUUUGGUCGCCCUAACUUCUUAGAUAUCUACUCUUGCACCCCCGUAAUUACAUGCUCUACUGAAAACUCCAGACGAAGAAGAUCAUUAAGUCUUCUCUAUUUUGCGUGGGACCUCGGUUCGCAGUCACUCUGAUAUGAAAUAUAUGUUAAAUCCUGAGAAUCUAGACAUCGCUCAUAAUUCAAAGUUUUUGAGCAUAGCGGUCAAAAUCGAUUUGAAAGUCUUGAAUAAUCUUUUAAUGAUAACAAAAUUAAAUGUAGUAUCAACUUUUUGGACACGUUCGGAAACACGAUUUUCGUAAUAGUAAGAUAUGUCACAACGUAGAAUUGACAUGCUUUCUAAUUGAAAGUGAGCCAUUGUGUAAUAUAUUUUGUUCGUGUGUUUUCAUUUAUCUACUUUACUGUUCUAAAGAGAAAUGUUUGAAAUUAUCCUAACAUUUAUUUUGUAUAUUUACAACUUUUUAGAAGUUAACUUUAGACCUAAAACCAUAUGCGAAGAUGCUAUAUACAGACCAUUAAUUUUAGAAUCAGAAAUCAUAUGUAAAUACGCUAUUUAGGGCAUGACUGGUUCAAACGCAGCGUUUGCAUUUGCGGUUGCGGAAAUUUACGGAUGCGGAUGGUUGCGGUUUCUAGGGGUUUUAAAAGAUUUGUACGACUGGUUCUGCGGUAAGAAAUAAUGUGCUUGCGGGAUACUUAUAACUAGUUAAUUACCAAAUGCAGCAACAAUUAAAUAAUAAAUUAACAAUAUUUACAUUUUAUAUAAUUAUAAAAAUAUCAAAAAUCAUAAUAUUAUAAUAAAUAUAAAAAUGAUAUUUAGAAAGUUAUAGUUUUAAAUUUUUUAAAAUUAUAGAAAAUAUUUUUAUUUUUAAAAUUUAUAAUUUAUAAUAUUAAUUAAAAUAUAAUAGAUAUAUUUUAGUAUUUUAUAAUUUUAAUUUUAUUUUUUUAAUUGUUGUUUGUAUUUAUAUUAUUUUUGAAAAGAAAGGAAAGAAAAUUAUCCUCCCGCAACCGCAUACGCUAGUUGGAACCAGUUUUUAAAUUUAUGAGGUUUAGAGCUGUUUGAAACGGAUUAGAACGGUUUGAAUGAUUGUUGCAAAACGCCAACAACCGCUACCAACCGCAAAAGCUGCGUUUGCGGGUGGUAGCCGAAAACCAGUCAUACCCUUAGACGCCUAAAAACUAAUUAAUGUGCUGUCUAACCAAAGAAUUUACAAGCAUAUUACUAAAAAUGAUGUUAUUGUUUUGAGGAAAACAUAAUUUUACUAUUUAAAAAUGGUUUUAUGGUCUAAACAAAAAUAAUGAGGUAGUUGAACUAAUUCAAAUACGCAAAAUAAGUCUAUAUCUAUUCAAAUACGCAUCUAAUUCUGAGUGCAUGUUUUUCCAUAUUUAUAAAGAUACAUUAUUGAAUCUAUCGAUUAUGAGCGUAUGCCAGAUAUAACUCGUUUAGAAGGCUUUCCGUGAACUUAUUUCUUGUCUAAACGUGUGAACAUAAGAGCUGCAUUAAUCACCGAGUUUGUUUGAGAACUUGAAAUGGAUACGUUGGACCAGAAAAUUGUGACAAUUGAUAUUGAAAUCUAUUUUUUUAAGUUUCAGACGAUUGAUUUCAUUAACCUAUUUUUCUUUGAGUGCAUUUUAUAUGGCAGAUCUCUCUAGACUCUAGUACUCCAAUGACAUGCAUUAGGGCAGAAAUACAUAUUUGAACAUGUUUUUGUUGCAUUUGGAAAAGGAUAUAUAAAUGAAAAAACAAUAAAAAGAAAAGGAAUGAUGAGACGACAACUUAAUGAGGGAACAAGAAAUUAAGGAAUCCAACAAAUGGUGACUACACUACAAAAAAGUCUACAUUGAUAGCACAUUGUUAUAGCACGUUUUACUGAACUGCUGUCGUAGAUGAUUUUAAUAUUUUUGUAUUAUAUUAUAGCAUUAGAUAAACGUUAUGGUAGAAUAAAACCUAAAAUAACACUUAAUUAAUGUUAUUUUAAAAAUUAUGUGAGCGGGAAUAUAAAGUCACAGAUACGGCCAACACUUAGCGAAAAAUUAGAUUUAAGCGCCAAAGAUAUUUUUUAAGCGGCUUCAACAAUGCUAUCAAAGACAUAUAAUAGCAUUUUUAUAACGCUAAGAAAAGCUCUUUGAACCCCUAAACUCUAAACAUGGUUUUAAACUCUAAACAUUGUUUUAAACCCAAAACUUUAAAGACAACCUUUAAACCUCUAAUCUUUUCAUACUAUAACUUCAAAUCUUAAAAUUAAAAUCAAAAUUUAAUCUUUUUAAUCUUAAUCUAUAAUUUCCUAAACACAUAUCUUUAAUCUUUAAUCAAACUCUAUAUCUUAAAUCUAAACUUCAAAUGUAAACUAAACAUUCAAUACUCUAAAUAUAAACUUCAAAUCUAAAUUAUUAAAUAUUUAACUACAAAUCGUCUAGUAUUCAAAUCUAUUAUUUUCGAAUCUUAAUCCAAAACACUAAAUUUUAACCCUAAACCUCAUAUUUCAACAUCAACACCUUAAAUCAUAAAACUAAAUUUACUCUUAAUCGUAUUUUUUGUAAAUCAUAAAAUAUAAAUUUAAAACUUUUGAAAUUUUGAAUCAAACAUACAAAUUUAUAAAAGAAUUAUAAAUCAGAUUUUUUAUAAACAUGCAAAUUUAAAAAUGAUGACCAAAAUCAUAAUGUUGAUAUUAAUCUAAUAUUUUCAAACUUAAACAUCAAUUCAUAAAAUAAAUAUCAGUUUAUUAGGUUCAAAAAAUAAAAAAAAAUAGACUUAAAUUAUAAACUACAAAAUAUUAAUUUUGAAAUAAGAUAUAACUAAUAAAAAUCACUUACAAAACAAAUUAUCAAAUAUGGAAAGACAAAACAAAAAUAAAAAUAGAAAAGCAAAAACAAAAUUGUCUGGCCAAUCAGAUUAAAAUACAUGGAUCACACUUUUGAACCGUUAGAUUAACUUAGAUCUGAAGGUUAAGAUUUAUUCCUUUUAAUUUUAAUUUUUAUUUUCUCCUCUCUCUCUCUUUCUCACAAACUCCACGAGAUCUGGUCUUCUUGUUCUUCUCCUUCAUUCUCACCUCUCCAAGCUUACUGUUUCUCUCAUCUCUCCUAUCUCUCUCCACGCCUCUCUCAUCUCUCUCUCAUCGCGUCUCCUCCUCGUCUCACCACCACCAGGGUCGCCCUCUCACCCCCACCACGGUCGCCCUCCCACCACCACCACGGUCGCACUCCCACCACCAUCACGUUGGGGAGGCAAGGUUCAUGGUGGCUGGAGGAGGCAAGGUCCAUGGCGGCUUGAGGACGGAAGUCUCGUGGCAGCUGGAGGAGGCAAGGCUCAUGGCUGUUGGAAGAGGGGCAAGGUUAUGGAGGAGGCGGCUGCAGUCUUUUCUUUUUUUUUUUUAGGUUUAGAUUUGGUUUAGUAUAAACCCAUGUUCGAAACUACGCUAGGCGUAACGCGUGCGGUUGGAUAGGGCCUAGCGCCGAAUCAAUUAAUCGGAGAUUAUACGGGGAUUAAUCGGGGCGUAAUUUUAGAUUAUUUAUAUACAUUUAUGGGUUUAUAUUUUAAAUAUGUAAACUAGACAAUAAUCUCGCAUGGUUCAGUGGCUA
This is a long non-coding RNA of Brassica rapa (field mustard), 4833 nucleotides long. RefSeq lists it as uncharacterized. The record is from RefSeq and is a predicted model, not a curated record. NCBI's taxonomy places the organism in Eukaryota, Viridiplantae, Streptophyta, Magnoliopsida, Brassicales, Brassicaceae.